CAGGAUCACCAGGUAGCAUCCCUAAUUGACAUAACCCGCCCGCUGGUACGACCCAAUACGGGACAGGCAAGUCUUUCAAGGUGAUGCGCCACUCUUUUGACAAACCCUCCUGAUCCCAAUGGCAAAGCCGAUUCAGGCAAGACAGUAGGUCAUGUUAACUUUGACAAACCCUCCUGAUGGCAAAGCCAAAUCAGGCAAGACAGUAGGCAUUGUUAACUUUGACAAACCCUCCUGAUGGCAAGGCCAAUUCAGGCAAGACAGUAUGCAUUGUUAACUUUGACAAACCCUCCCUAUGGCAAAGCCGUUUCAGGCAAGACAGUAAGCAUUGUUAACUUUGACAAACCCUCCUGAUGGCAAAGCCGUUUCAGGCAAGACAGUAAGCAUUGUUAACUUUGACAAACCCUCCCGAUGGCAGGGCCAAAUCAGGCAAGACAGUAAGCAUUGUUAACUUUGACAAACCCUCCCGAUGGCAAGGCCAAACCAGGAAAGACAGCAGUCAUGUUAAGAGAGGCACAAACGCUAAAUGAGGGCAAAACAAGGAUCCCAUGAGACCCCAUGCCCACAUCGUUUUCCAUAUCCAGGAUACCAAGCAACGCUCAAUGGGCCACAACAUCAACGCAAGCAUAAUGUUGUGGAUCAAAGAGACCGCUUUGUGGUUCAUCCGAUGCCACAAAAAUGGCACGAGACGAAAUCAACUGUAAUCAACCAAGACAAUACCAAUGCUUAGGUACGCAACACAGAAACCCACAAUUUGCCAGGCAAUAGAUCCCAAACCAAACAACUGAAGAGGUAUGCCGGGUGGA
This 803-nucleotide unclassified non-coding RNA is filed under the name Bidens cf. evapelliana GJ-2020. RNAcentral's name for it is "partial external transcribed spacer". The record is from RNAcentral. Lineage: Eukaryota; Viridiplantae; Streptophyta; Magnoliopsida; Asterales; Asteraceae.